GUCCACGCCUAACGAUGUCAACUGGUUGUUGGACGGCUUGCUGUUCAGUAACGAAGCUAACGCGUGAAGUUGACCGCCUGGGGAGUACGGCCGCAAGGUUGAACUCAAGGAAUUGACGGGACCCGCACAAGCGGUGGAUGAUGUGGUUUAAUUCGAUGCAACGCGAAACCUUACCUACCCUUGACAUGUCAAGAAUUUUGCAGAGAUGUGAAAGUGCUCGAAAGAGAGCUUGAACACAGGUGCUGCAUGGCCGUCGU
This 257-nucleotide ribosomal RNA is filed under the name uncultured bacterium. RNAcentral's name for it is "partial 16S ribosomal RNA". It matches the Rfam family "Bacterial small subunit ribosomal RNA", at positions 793 to 1055 of the family's 1533-position model. The record is from RNAcentral.